Acanthosepion pharaonis is the source of this 85-nucleotide non-coding RNA. The record is from the annotation of a GenBank genome assembly. NCBI's taxonomy places the organism in Eukaryota, Metazoa, Mollusca, Cephalopoda, Sepiida, Sepiidae.
UCCGGUACGAUCACCGCAGUUAAGCAAUGUCGAGUCUGGUCAGUACCUAGAUGGGUGACCGUUUCGGAAAACCAGGUGCUGUAAG